UACAGAGGUCCCAAGCGUUGUUCGGAUUCACUGGGCGUAAAGGGUGCGUAGGCGGCUGGGUAAGUCUGUCGUGAAAUCUCCGAGCCUAACUCGGAAACUGCGUCGGAUACUAUUCAACUCGAGGAAUGGAGGGGAGACUGGAAUUCUCGGUGUAGCAGUGAAAUGCGUAGAUAUCGAGAGGAACACCAGUGGCGGAGGCGAGUCUCUGGACAUUUCCUGACGCUGAGGCACGAAAGCCAGGGGAGCAAACGGG
RNAcentral lists this ribosomal RNA (253 nucleotides) under uncultured bacterium. Its description in RNAcentral is "partial 16S ribosomal RNA". It matches the Rfam family "Bacterial small subunit ribosomal RNA", at positions 524 to 776 of the family's 1533-position model. The record is from RNAcentral.